CAGCAGUAAGGAAUAUUGGUCAAUGGGGGCAACCCUGAACCAGCCAUGCCGCGUGCAGGAAGACGGCCCUCUGGGUUGUAAACUGCUUUUAUCCGGGAAUAAACCCCCUUACGUGUAAGGGGCUGAAUGUACCGGAAGAAUAAGGAUCGGCUAACUCCGUGCCAGCAGCCGCGGUAAUACGGAGGAUCCAAGCGUUAUCCGGAUUUAUUGGGUUUAAAGGGUGCGUAGGCGGCCUGUUAAGUCAGGGGUGAAAGACGGUGGCUCAACCAUCGCAGUGCCUUUGAUACUGACGGGCUUGAAUACACUUGAAGUAGGCGGAAUGUGACAAGUAGCGGUGAAAUGCAUAGAUAUGUCACAGAACACCGAUUGCGAAGGCAGCUUACUAAGGUGCAAUUGACGCUGAGGCACGAAAGCGUGGGGAUCAAACAGGAUUAGAUACCCUGGUAGUCCACGCCCUAAACGAUGAAUACUCGAUGUUAGCGAUAUACAGUUAGCGUCUAAGCGAAAGCGUUAAGUAUUCCACCUGGGGAGUACGCCCGCAAGGGUGAAACUCAAAGGAAUUGACGGGGGCCCGCACAAGCGGAGGAGCAUGUGGUUUAAUUCGAUGAUACGCGAGGAACCUUACCCGGGCUUGAAAGUUACUGAAGUAUCCAGAGAUGGAUGCGUCCGCAAGG
Molecule: ribosomal RNA, 674 nt
Filed under: uncultured bacterium
Lineage: Bacteria
Description: bacterial SSU rRNA
Rfam family: Bacterial small subunit ribosomal RNA
Source: RNAcentral